AGAACUGUGCCCGAAUGCUUAAGGACUACGUUGAUGUCGUAGUAUAUAGGGGUUCAAGUCCCCUCAGUUCUA
This 72-nucleotide transfer RNA is filed under the name Umbra pygmaea (eastern mudminnow). RNAcentral's name for it is "tRNA-Ile". It matches the Rfam family "tRNA". From Rfam's summary of the family: Transfer RNA (tRNA) molecules are approximately 80 nucleotides in length. Their secondary structure includes four short double-helical elements and three loops (D, anti-codon, and T loops). Lineage: Eukaryota; Metazoa; Chordata; Actinopteri; Esociformes; Umbridae. The record is from RNAcentral.